This is a transfer RNA of Camelus ferus (Wild Bactrian camel), 73 nucleotides long. It matches the Rfam family "tRNA". Rfam says of the family: Transfer RNA (tRNA) molecules are approximately 80 nucleotides in length. NCBI's taxonomy places the organism in Eukaryota, Metazoa, Chordata, Mammalia, Artiodactyla, Camelidae. The record is from Rfam.
GAGGGUAUAGCUCAAGUAGUAGAGCUAAUGCUUAGCAUGUAUGAGGUCCUGGGUUCAAUCCUCAGUACCUCCU